ACGGCGUCUAAUACUGGAUACGAGCAGCGGAGGCAUCUCCAGCUGCUGGAAAGAUUUUUUGGUCUGGGAUGGGCUCGCGGCCUAUCAGCUUGUUGGUGAGGUAAUGGCUCACCAAGGCGUCGACGGGUAGCCGGCCUGAGAGGGUGACCGGCCACACUGGGACUGAGACACGGCCCAGACUCCUACGGGAGGCAGCAGUGGGGAAUAUUGCACAAUGGGCGGAAGCCUGAUGCAGCAACGCCGCGUGAGGGACGACGGCCUUCGGGUUGUAAACCUCUUUUAGCAAGGAAGAAGCGAAAGUGACGGUACUUGCAGAAAAAGCGCCGGCUAACUACGUGCCAGCAGCCGCGGUAAUACGUAGGGCGCAAGCGUUAUCCGGAAUUAUUGGGCGUAAAGAGCUCGUAGGCGGUUUGUCGCGUCUGCUGUGAAAACCCGAGGCUCAACCUCGGGCCUGCAGUGGGUACGGGCAGACUAGAGUGCGGUAGGGGAGAUUGGAAUUCCUGGUGUAGCGGUGGAAUGCGCAGAUAUCAGGAGGAACACCGAUGGCGAAGGCAGAUCUCUGGGCCGUAACUGACGCUGAGGAGCGAAAGGGUGGGGAGC
Molecule: ribosomal RNA, 600 nt
Filed under: Microbacterium aureliae
Lineage: Bacteria; Bacillati; Actinomycetota; Actinomycetes; Micrococcales; Microbacteriaceae
Description: bacterial SSU rRNA
Rfam family: Bacterial small subunit ribosomal RNA
Source: RNAcentral